UAAGCAUUUACCCUCGCCUUGGCUUACGG
This 29-nucleotide small RNA is filed under the name Bombyx mori (domestic silkworm). Its description in RNAcentral is "ovarian small RNA-19252". Lineage: Eukaryota; Metazoa; Arthropoda; Insecta; Lepidoptera; Bombycidae. The record is from RNAcentral.